Molecule: ribosomal RNA, 460 nt
Filed under: uncultured bacterium
Lineage: Bacteria
Description: partial 16S ribosomal RNA
Rfam family: Bacterial small subunit ribosomal RNA
Source: RNAcentral
CCUACGGGUGGCAGCAGUGAGGAAUAUUGGUCAAUGGACGAGAGUCUGAACCAGCCAAGUAGCGUGAAGGAUGACUGCCCUAUGGGUUGUAAACUUCUUUUAUAUGGGAAUAAAAUGUUCCACGUGUGGGAUUUUGUAUGUACCAUAUGAAUAAGGAUCGGCUAACUCCGUGCCAGCAGCCGCGAUAAUACGGAGGAUCCGAGCGUUAUCCGGAUUUAUUGGGUUUAAAGGGAGCGUAGGUGGAUUGUUAAGUCAGUUGUGAAAGUUUGCGGCUCAACCGUAAAAUUGCAGUUGAAACUGGCAGUCUUGAGUACAGUAGAGGUGGGCGGAAUUCGUGGUGUAGCGGUGAAAUGCUUAGAUAUCACGAAGAACUCCGAUUGCGAAGGCAGUUCACUGGACUGCAACUGACACUGAGGCUCGAAAGUGUGGGUAUCAAACAGGAUUAGAUACCCGAGUAGUC